GUAGCAUAGUCAUUAGCCUCUUAAUUAGGGGAUAGAAUGAACGAUUAAACAGAGAAUAGCUAUUAGAUUUAAAAAAUAAAAUUUGAAGUUUAAGUAAAAAUACUUAAAUAUGAUAAGGGGACGAUAAGACCCUAAAAGCUUUAGUUAAUUAUUAAGAGUUAAUAAUAGAUAAUAUAUUUUAAUUGGGGUAAUGGGUAUAUAUAGAAAUUAUAAUAGUUUAUAUACACUAGAAAGUGGAUAUUAGAUUUUUUAAAUAAAAAUUAUUUUUAAAAGUUACUUUAGGGAUAACAGCAUAAUAAUUUUUGAGAGUUCUUAUCUAUGAAGUUGAUUAUGACCUCGAUGUUGAAUUAAGAUAUCUUUGUAAAGGAGAAGUUACAGGAGAGGGUUUGUUCAACCUUUAAUAUUUU
RNAcentral lists this ribosomal RNA (407 nucleotides) under Nicippe recticaudata. Its description in RNAcentral is "partial 16S ribosomal RNA". The stretch from base 284 to 407 matches the Rfam family "Bacterial large subunit ribosomal RNA", at positions 2473 to 2597 of the family's 2925-position model. Lineage: Eukaryota; Metazoa; Arthropoda; Malacostraca; Amphipoda; Pardaliscidae. The record is from RNAcentral.